GACAGAGGUGGCAAGCGUUGUUCGGAUUUACUGGGCUUAAAGGGCGUGUAGGCGUCCUGGUAAGUCAGAUGUGGAAGCCUUGGGCUCAACCCAAGAAUUGCAUUUGAAACUAUCAGGAUUGAGUCGUGCAAGGGAGGGCGGAAUUCCUGGUGUAGCGGUGAAAUGCGUAGAUAUCAGGAGGAAGGCCGGUGGCGAAGGUGGCCCUCUGGGCAAUGACUGACGCUGAGGCGCGAAAGCGUGGGUAGCAAACAGGAUUAGAUACCCUGGUAGUCCACGCCCUAAACGGUGCGUACUAGGUGUGGGUGGCGAUAGUCAUCCGUGCCGAAGGGAAACCAUUAAGUACGCCGCCUGGGGAGUACGGCCGCAAGGUUGAAACUUAAAUGAAUUGACGG
This 392-nucleotide ribosomal RNA is filed under the name uncultured bacterium. Its description in RNAcentral is "bacterial SSU rRNA". It matches the Rfam family "Bacterial small subunit ribosomal RNA", at positions 524 to 916 of the family's 1533-position model. The record is from RNAcentral.